CCUACGGGAGGCAGCAGUGGGGAAUCUUGCGCAAUGGGCGAAAGCCUGACGCAGCCAUGCCGCGUGUAUGAUGAAGGUCUUAGGAUUGUAAAAUACUUUCACCGGUGAAGAUAAUGACUGUAGCCGGAGAAGAAGCCCCGGCUAACUUCGUGCCAGCAGCCGCGGUAAUACGAAGGGGGCUAGCGUUGCUCGGAAUUACUGGGCGUAAAGGGAGCGUAGGCGGACAUUUAAGUCAGGGGUGAAAUCCCAGAGCUCAACUCUGGAACUGCCUUUGAUACUGGGUGUCUUGAGUGUGAUAGAGGUAUGUGGAACUCCGAGUGUAGAGGUGAAAUUCGUAGAUAUUCGGAAGAACACCAGUGGCGAAGGCGACAUACUGGAUCAUUACUGACGCUGAGGCUCGAAAGCGUGGGGAGCAAACAGGAUUAGAUACCCUGGUAGUCCACGCCGUAAACGAUGAUUGCUAGUUGUCGGGAUGUUUACAUCUCGGUGACGCAGCUAACGCAUUAAGCAAUCCGCCUGGGGAUACGGUCGCAAGNUUAAAACUCAAAGAGAGUAGACGUGNGAGAGACGACGACGACGACGACGGAGGAGGAGG
Molecule: ribosomal RNA, 595 nt
Filed under: uncultured bacterium
Lineage: Bacteria
Description: bacterial SSU rRNA
Rfam family: Bacterial small subunit ribosomal RNA
Source: RNAcentral